GACAGAGGCCUCGAGCGUUAGGCGGAAUCACUGGGCUUAAAGCGUGUGUAGGCGGGCCCGUAAGUGUCUUGUGAAAUCCCACGGCUCAACCGUGGAACUGCUGGGCAUACUGCGGGUCUUGGGCCAACUAGGGGCAGCCGGAACAAGCGGUGGAGCGGUGAAAUGCGUAGAUAUUAGGAAGAACACCAGUGGCGAAGGCGGCUCACUGGCCCGGUACUGACGCUGAGGCGCGAAAGCGUGGGGAGCAAACAGG
This 253-nucleotide ribosomal RNA is filed under the name uncultured bacterium. Its description in RNAcentral is "partial 16S ribosomal RNA". It matches the Rfam family "Bacterial small subunit ribosomal RNA", at positions 524 to 776 of the family's 1533-position model. The record is from RNAcentral.